UACGAAGGGGGCUAGCGUUGCUCGGAAUCACUGGGCGUAAAGCGCACGUAGGCGGCUUUUUAAGUCAGGGGUGAAAUCCUGGAGCUCAACUCCAGAACUGCCUUUGAUACUGAGAGGCUCGAGUCCGGAAGAGGUGAGUGGAACUGCGAGUGUAGAGGUGAAAUUCGUAGAUAUUCGCAAGAACACCAGUGGCGAAGGCGGCUCACUGGCCCGGUACUGACGCUGAGGUGCGAAAGCGUGGGGAGCAAACAGG
Molecule: ribosomal RNA, 253 nt
Filed under: uncultured bacterium
Lineage: Bacteria
Description: partial 16S ribosomal RNA
Rfam family: Bacterial small subunit ribosomal RNA
Source: RNAcentral